GGCAGAGUAGUGUAAUGGUUUGAGUGUUGGAUUACAACUCUGCAGACCAGGGUUCAACUCCCCACUUGGCCA
Molecule: transfer RNA, 72 nt
Filed under: Phrynosoma platyrhinos (Desert horned lizard)
Lineage: Eukaryota; Metazoa; Chordata; Lepidosauria; Squamata; Phrynosomatidae
Description: tRNA-OTHER
Source: RNAcentral